Haliotis rubra (blacklip abalone) is the source of this 128-nucleotide long non-coding RNA. RefSeq lists it as uncharacterized. NCBI's taxonomy places the organism in Eukaryota, Metazoa, Mollusca, Gastropoda, Lepetellida, Haliotidae. The record is from RefSeq and is a predicted model, not a curated record. The transcript is spliced from 3 exons.
GGGAUAAGAGUGAGUGUGUAUGGUUUUUACGCAAUUGUAAGCGAUAUUCCAGAAUAUCACGGCGGGGAACACCAGAAAUGGGCUUCACAAGUUGUACCCAUGUGGGGAAUCGAAUCCGGGCCUUCGGC